Molecule: small nucleolar RNA, 107 nt
Filed under: Olea europaea subsp. europaea
Lineage: Eukaryota; Viridiplantae; Streptophyta; Magnoliopsida; Lamiales; Oleaceae
Description: Plant small nucleolar RNA R71
Rfam family: Plant small nucleolar RNA R71
About the family: R71 is a member of the C/D box family of snoRNAs containing the C (UGAUGA) and D (CUGA) box motifs. Multiple nearly identical copies of this snoRNA have been identified in Arabidopsis, and it is thought to function as a 2'-O-ribose methylation guide for 18S ribosomal RNA.
Source: Rfam by way of RNAcentral
AAGUCAUGAUUUUGGCACUUCCUAAGCAACUCUUUGAAUCUCCCCUAUGUUUCAUGAAAAUUUUCCAUGCUAAACUGCCUAAAUAUGGAGAUUUCAUGCUUCAAUUU